Long non-coding RNA from Triticum aestivum (bread wheat), 3735 nucleotides. RefSeq lists it as uncharacterized. The transcript is spliced from 4 exons. NCBI's taxonomy places the organism in Eukaryota, Viridiplantae, Streptophyta, Magnoliopsida, Poales, Poaceae. The record is from RefSeq and is a predicted model, not a curated record.
UCGGAUCCCGGCGACUCCUCGCCCCCACCUCCUUCCUUGCUCCCGGCGCCCAAUCUCCUAGGAUCCCGGCGACGCCUCGCCCCCACCUCCUUCCUCGCUCCAGGCACCGCCCGACCCCCAACCUCCCUGGAUCUGGCGUCACUCCACCACCACCUCCUACAUCCCAUAGCAGCGGUCGCCCCUGCCGCCUGUGUGCGCCUCCGUCAUCCUCCCGGCGCCGGUUGUGCGCAUCGCCCCACGCCGCCUGCCACGCGAGCGCCCACCCCAAACCGCUGGCUCGCCGGCUUGCCAGGCAACCGCUGGCUUGUUCUUCCUCUGGCCACCGCUAGCUCGCCGGCCGUUCACCUUCGCCACCUACUGAAGGUCGGCUUUUUGAAAUAGCCAUCAUGUAUACAACAACUACGGCAGUGGCCUUGGAUGCGCCCAACGAAGGACAACGAUAGGCAAAAAAAUGCUAGUGCAGCUGCUUGCCUCCUCUUCAUAUUCCAUACCAGAAAACAUCCUUCGCCCCUUUAUUUUCUUUAGUAAGUUUUCAUUAAAAGACCUCAGAAUAGCAAGUAGAAGUUCGGCACAAGGACCUACAUCAGUUCAACUACAGAAACAGAACAAGUCCAUGAGAUUAUAAUUAAGUUCAAAAUUACUACAUGGUCAUGUAUUUAACAGCAUGUCCAUGAAUUAGUACAUGAGAAGUACAAAAAAUACUACUGGUUAUAGUUCAUUUAAAUCAUGACAUCUGAAUCGGGGUCAACCCUUGCCACCAUGCUUCUACACGGCCGGACACCAUGCCUCCUUUCACCACCCCAUGGCAAGAGUUAGUUUGGUUGGAAAUUAUGUGCACUGAACUUGUCGAUUGUUGUAUCUGUGAGAGUUAAAUUUUUGUUUUAAAAGUUUACCAUUAAUUAGAACAAUUUUGAUGAACCGUGGGAGCUCAGUUAGCUGACAAAAAAUCUUUUGCUUAGUGCCUAUAUGAUACCAGGAGGCACUGUUCAUGUAAGAGGUUCAAAGAUUGUAGUGGAGCAAGUCUAGCUUCUUUUUCAGUUCAGAUCAAUUUCUAAAUUUCAUUCAGUUCAAGCCUUAUUGUAGUGUAAAGUUCAGUUGGAGGUAUUCGUCCAGCUGCCGAUGCAGUGCUGGCCAUUCUUGGCGCUGCCUAUGUUUGAUCAAAUGUCAAAGAGAACCUCAUCUAGCUCUCCGUGUCAUCUGUCAUGUGAGUGGCUGUGCUCAGUGAAUGCGUGCCUCAUCUAGCUCUUUUUGAUACCUUUGUUCUUCCAGUCCUUGUAGAAGACAGAGCUCCCAUGAUUCACACAUGGAACCCAGAUGAUUCCAUUUCUUCGUACCCCCAAGUGCUUUAAUGGUGGCACACUACGGGUUUCAGGUUACUCGUGUGUUAAGACUAGCUAAGAUAGACUCGCAUGUGAAUGAUUCUUUUUUUUUCCUUGUCAUUCUUGUACAGCCUGCCAUGAAAAAAUGUGACAACAUAAUACUAAAUAUUUGUGUAUUCUAUUCUAUCGUCAGUUCAUAGAGAAGCAAUUCUCUUUUCUUCAGUGUGUACUCUAUCAUCAGUUCCGUGUUUAUUUAUGUUCUCUUUUCUUCAGUCCACAAGAAGAAAUAUUGUCAGUUCAAGAAUGGAGAAUUUUUGUACUAAACUUAAUAUUAAUUCGGUGUGUAUUCUAUCGUCAUUACAUGAAAAAACACAGAAUAGUUGGUGCCUGUGCAGAAAUAUCGUUAGUUCAAGUUUCAAAAUUCUGUAAGUUUAGAUAUAUCACCCAAAUAAGUGAUGAUUUUCAGCGAGUUUCUUCAGUGUCAAUUCUGAUUCAAGUGCCCUGUUCUUCCUAGCACAUAUGGUGCUUGUAUUAAUUCCUAUGGGAGAAUAGCACGUACAUGAACUGUUUACUAGUGAUGAAAACAGGAUAAAGUCCUAAGAUAAUAUAGGUACUAAGCAAGCACUCAACUAUGUGGUGUUUUAAACAAAAGUAAUACUUUAACUAAGUUUUACAAAUGUUUACACUAAUUGUGUUAUAGUCUGGUUGCAUUUGAUUGACGAACUCGUGUCCACAAAAAGUAAUACUACUUUAACUAAGUUUUAAAAACGUUUGCAUAAAAAACAGUUCAAACGUAAUUGCACAAAAGGUUCAAUAUGUGGUGUCUUAGGAGUCUCAUAAUGCAAAAUAUACCGGUGAUUUUUUUUCUGGUUGUAUUGACUUGAUACAUUAUUAUGAUUGUUCCCGGGAGUCUACAAGUGCAGGAAUGGCAGUCCCAGACUAUUGACACCGAAACAUUUGAGAUUUUUCCGGCUCAGUGUCAGUGAUAAUAAACAAGUCAUUAGGCGAGCACAUUCUUUGGAUAAUGAAUUAGAUGUUCUAGGACCUGCACAGGUUGUUAGUGGAAUUAGGCGAGCAUAUUCGUUGGAUAAUGAAUUAGGCGACCAGCAGUCCAACCCGGCCGCCCCAAGCCGUUCACCAUCGCAGCUACUAGGCCGAUUGUGUUGAGCCUCCUGCCACUGCCGGUGGGGCUCCAUUGCCGCACCGCCCAUAUCGUUCACCGCUGCCACACCGGGGUGUUGACAACCCCGCGGCUCAGGAGGCACACACUUCGCCCCUCCAUCCCAGGAGAGAGUACAUCUCCUUGUGCGCGAGCAGUCCAUUGCCGAUGUACACUGCUGCUCUAAGCUCCUUGGCCACUGCUCCAAUAUGUCCAGCGCCGUCCCCAGUCCAGUCUCGUGGCAUCUGGACGGUCGAGUUCAUGCCGAGCAGCAGUCCACGGCCGUCAGCUCCUAUUUCCACUAUAGUGGCUGGGUUGCCGUUUUCCUCAUCCUUCCUGGUGCAUGACAACCCAGCCCACAUGCUGCUGCCGUCCGCCACCCCAAAAUAGCUUUGGCUCUUCCUUAAGCAACCAUUUGGAGAACCUUUUGGUGUUUUUUCUGCUGGUGAUUGAUUUUAGCAAUUUGUAGCUAUCUUGCAUUGGAACCUGAAAGUUCAAGAUUGCUGUAGAUUCAAUUCUUGUAGUAUAAAUGUCCCAGAGUUCAGUGACAUCUCUAAUAUUGUGCUCAGCAUCCUCCCAAUCCGCUCGAUCUCGUCCUGCUCCGGAGCAUGCUUCAGUUCAACAAAAAGCUCCGGAAAAGUUCAGAGUUCGGAGUACUUUGCAUCCAUGGGCUAAAGUCGUGGAUUGCGCCCUGCACGUCGUUUCGCAAUGAGCCAGGAUAGAGGUUGUUGGACACUGUCGUGCACGCCGUGAGCAGCUGUGGCCGUUGGACACCCGUUCGGAGUUUUGGCCAAGAACCAUCGUCGGCCAGUAGGGUGUCACCUGAUUUUCGUGCAACAACGACAACUUGGUAAGCCUUGCAUAGACAGGCUUCGCAAUGAUGAAUGCAUGAAGAUCUUUGUAGGUCCUGGCGACUGUGAUAAAGGCAAGUGCUUAAGUGGUUUUUGCUGAAGAAGAAUGGCCUAGCUUACCUGGCGUAGCAGUACUCAAAGUCAAGUAUCGAUGAUGUGGAAGCAUUGAAACUUUUCCUAGUUGCUUGACUUCAAUAACUAUGCCUUUUGAGAUCGUACCAUUUGGUCAUCUUAUGGCUUUGUAUCGAACUUCUAGUCAUCAUGUUACAACCGUUCGAUGAAGAAAAUACAUUAGUCCAAAAGCAUGCAGGUGCUAAUGCUGCAGCGAUCUCGUUCGCAGCCGCAAGGAUCUUGUUCUGUUUAAUGUUGUUUGAUGUUCAUAGAUACACGUAAAAGUUCACCGUUA